CUGACCCUGGCCCUGGGGACAGUGUCGGAAUCUCCAUUGCUAGGAUGCCAAGCAGCCUCAUCUCCUGUUGUCCGUGGCUUUGACCUUCCAAAGAAACAGAACAAAAAGGAGCCAGCAAGACUCUUGGCUGGCCUCUUCUACCCUACAAUCUAAGUGGGAGAAUGCUGGUGCUGGCCUGCCAGGCCCUGUGGGACCCACCCGCACAAACACAAUGGGCAGCUUGUACCUCUGGCCACCUGAUCCUCCUGGGCCCCAGGCCUGGCGCCAUGGACAAGGUAUGAGACCAGCCACCUGAACCUGGAGCAGUCUAAGUGGUGACCAAGAAUGUGAGAUUCCCCCUCCCCAUCUCCCACCAGGUCAGGGAGUGAGGCUUUGUCCUCAGGGCUCAGGACAAAAGAACCUCAGUGACGGCCAGGCCAGGACCGUCUUCCCAGACACGGAACUGAAAAUCCCAGGACACUGGCUCAGUCCUUCAUGUGGAUGAAGCGAGGGUUCGGGAGGCUUCCAGGGAGGCUGUAGGAUGAACAGGUGUGGGAUGGGGAGGUAAAGGAUUCUUAGAGACGAAAGGGAGCACACUGUCUCUCCCAGGAUGACCUGGUGUAAGCUUGGGGCAGUAACUAGGGCUUCCUGACUUUGCCCUUGCCUCAGGUAUUUACAGGUGGGUGGUGCCGAGGAUUCUUCACACCCUGGGCUUUGGAGAGCUGGUCUGGAUAGGACCCCCUGGCAGGAAGAUAGCUGCUCUCUUUGGGGGUCAAGGUGUGGAAGAAGUGUGGGAGAGGUGGGUAUGGAGCAGAGGUAUUGAGCUGAAGGCCCCUGCUGAACCAGUGUGCUGUGGGGAGGGAUGUCUGAAGGAGGUCAAGGGGGCAGAAUGGGCACAACCGGCAGAAGAGCGAGGCCACUCACUGCUGAGUCCGCCUGGGACUACGGAGGGGUUGUUCCCAUGCUGAAGGUGUCUGGCUGCUUCCUCAGAGCCUGUCUGCUUUGGUUUCCAACUGGAACAGAGUUUUCCAAACCAGAGUUUAAAUAAACUGAAAACACUUU
Non-coding RNA from Myodes glareolus (Bank vole), 1041 nucleotides. The record is from RefSeq and is a predicted model, not a curated record. Lineage: Eukaryota; Metazoa; Chordata; Mammalia; Rodentia; Cricetidae.